RNAcentral lists this ribosomal RNA (119 nucleotides) under Alligator sinensis (Chinese alligator). Lineage: Eukaryota; Metazoa; Chordata; Crocodylia; Alligatoridae. The record is from RNAcentral.
ACCUAUGGCCAGACCGGACUGAUUGCACCCUAUCCUGUCUGAUCUCGGAAGCUAAGCAGUCCCAGGCCUGGCUAGUACCUGGAUGGGAGAUUGCUUGGGAAUCCCAGGUGCUGUAGGCG